AGUUUUGCCUUAAUUUGGCAAAAAAAAAACCCACAAAAACAAUUAGUGGUUUUGCAUUAAUUUACCAUAUAAAUUCAAACAGUCGAUUCGUUCACAAAAGAGUCGAUUCGUUCUCGAGCGACACUUCACCUAAGUGCGCGCGCCUUGGCUACCGGGAGCGCGUAUCCUCCUCCGGCGAGACUGGCGAGAGAAGCGGGCCAUCGCUGCCCCGACCGCGAGCACUGAGGACAUCAUGAGCUCCAGAAAAGUGAUGGCUAUCCAGGCUCGAAAAAGGAGGCCGAAAGGGAAGAAAGACAAGACGACUCACCAUCGAAGGCAAGUAAUGAGGGGCGGCGGUCGGUUCGCGGUGCGACUUGUGUGUGUUUGUGUCCGACAGCGAGUGAUGCAGUCAACAUCACAGGGCUGUUAAUGUGGACAGUGUCGGAUCUCUGGCUGUAUACAGACCUUUAACGGCCAUGUCACACACACACACACACACACACACACACACACACACACACACACACAUACAGGCGAUCGUUCAGCUGUACAGCUCAGUAUUCCAGGCUGCAGUAAUGGCCGGAGCGGAGCGAGUCGGAAGUUGCUCAUGGCAACGGAGGCAGUUUGUGGGUAUGUUUAUUUCUUCCGUGUUCGUGUUUACGUUUCAUAUCGCUGUUGUUUACAUAUAAAUACAGUCUGUAUCCACACCGAAAGAAAUGAAUACAUUGUACAUACAGGGUUAGGGGAUGGAGGGGUGACAUGACAUGACAGGACACGACACGACGUGACAGGACAGGACGUGGGCUGUGCACGAGACUUACGCUCUCCGUCUACCGUACUCGGUAGUAUGUCCGCCUGCACUGCUGCACCACAGAUCAGACACACACCGCGCAGUUCAGCGGUUUAGGACGGAGCAGCUGAGUUGAACUGGGCGCGCGUGUGUGUGUGUGUGUGUGUGUCAGACAUGAGUUCUGGGAGAAGCAUCAAGGAGACGCGUGUGUAAAAAACAACAACAACAACAACAAAAAAAGCCCGGAACGUAUUAUACGCUCGCGCAGGGUUGCUGGAAACUGGUCGGUGUGGACAGUGACGUCAGCGGGCAGCCGUUAAGGUGAUUCCCUGUUUCCCGCCACUCUCUCGCGCUCCAGUCCAGAAUGUGCUGGAAUAAACUGCUGAACUGGAAUAGACCUUCACUGAACUGAUGUAGGCGACAAUACUGAUCCCACAGACAGACAGACACGACACACCCCUGACACUCAGACCCAGACCAUAAACAAUCACUAACCCCUAAUUAAGAAAAAAAUAAUAAUAAUGAAAAAGAGUCGAUGGGUGCAUAUACAGGACGGCAUGUUGGCUUAGUCGUUAGCACGUUUGCCGGGGUUGGGGGUUUGAAUCCUGUCUCCGCCCUGUGUGUGUGGAGUUUGCAUGGUCUCCCUGUGCUUCAGGGGUUUCCUCCAGGUUCUCCGAUUUCCUCCCCCAGUCCAAAGACGUGUUGUAGGCUGAUUGGUAUUUCCAGUGUGAAUGAAUCAAUGUGUGUUUGUGCCCUGUGAAAGGUUGACACCCCAUCCAGAGUGUCCACUGCCUUGUGCCCCGUUUUCCCUGGGACAGGUUCCAGGCACCCCCACAACCCUGUGUAGGAUAAGCGGUAGGGAAAAUGGAUGGAUGAAUGGAUGGAUGGAUGGGUGCAUAUACAGUUUUGAUCACAGAUCCUGAAACAACAUUGGCCUGCAGGCUGUGUUCCACAUUGUGUUGGAGAGAGCAGGCUGUGCGUGCUGUAGGCACAGUGAGCCGCGUGACCAACGCGGUCCUUUAAUAGGCACAUUUUCCCUUUGAUCUUGAU
Ictalurus punctatus (channel catfish) is the source of this 1819-nucleotide long non-coding RNA. The record is from Ensembl. Lineage: Eukaryota; Metazoa; Chordata; Actinopteri; Siluriformes; Ictaluridae.